AUGUCUUCUACUCUACCUCAAUAUACCGCUUCUGACUACGCCAAGUUCGCUUUGGCCGGUGCCAUUGGUUGUGGUACUACCCACUCUUCCAUGGUUCCAAUCGAUGUCGUUAAGACUAGAAUCCAAUUGGAACCAACCGUUUACAACAAGGGUAUGAUCUCUUCUUUCAGACAGAUUAUCUCUGCUGAAGGUGCUGGUGCUCUAUUGACUGGUUUCGGUCCAACUUUGUUGGGUUACUCUUUGCAAGGUGCCUUCAAGUUCGGUGGUUACGAAUUGUUCAAGAAGUUGGCCAUUGACAACAUGGGUUACGAAAACGCUGUUAACUACAAGAACACUGUCUACAUUGGUUCCGCUGCUAUUGCCGAAUUCUUUGCUGAUAUUGCUUUGUGUCCAUUGGAAGCCACCAGAAUUAGAUUGGUUUCUCAACCAAGCUUUGCUAACGGUUUGUUCGGUGGUUUCAGCAGAAUCUUGAGAGAAGAAGGUGUUGGUUCUUUCUACAACGGUUUCACCCCAAUUCUAUUCAAGCAAAUUCCAUACAACAUUGCUAAGUUCGUUGUGUUCGAACAUGCUGCUGAAGUUUACUUCGGUCUAGCUGGUUCAAAGGAAUCCUUGUCUGCCUCUGCUACUACUGGUAUCAACUUGUUGGCUGGUUUGACUGCUGGUUUGGCUGCUGCCGUUGUUUCUCAACCAGCUGACACUCUAUUGUCUAAGGUUAACAAGACCAAGAAGGCUCCAGGUCAAUCUACCGUCGGUUUGUUGGCUCAAUUGGCCAAGCAACUAGGUUUCGUUGGUUCCUUCGCCGGUUUGCCAACACGUUUGGUUAUGGUCGGUACCUUGACUUCCUUGCAAUUCGGUAUCUACGGUUCCCUAAAGAAGACUUUGGGUUGUCCACCAGCUGUCGAAAUCGGUAAGUCCUCCCACUAA
Molecule: transfer RNA, 924 nt
Filed under: Kluyveromyces marxianus
Lineage: Eukaryota; Fungi; Ascomycota; Saccharomycetes; Saccharomycetales; Saccharomycetaceae
Description: tRNA-Ser
Source: RNAcentral